AGUGAACGCUGGCGGUAGGCCUAACACAUGCAAGUCGAACGGCAGCACAGUAAGAGCUUGCUCUUACGGGUGGCGAGUGGCGGACGGGUGAGGAAUACAUCGGAAUCUACUUUUUCGUGGGGGAUAACGUAGGGAAACUUACGCUAAUACCGCAUACGACCUACGGGUGAAAGCAGGGGAUCUUCGGACCUUGCGCGAUUGAAUGAGCCGAUGUCGGAUUAGCUAGUUGGCGGGGUAAAGGCCCACCAAGGCGACGAUCCGUAGCUGGUCUGAGAGGAUGAUAGGCCACACUGGAGCUGAGACACGGUCCAGACUACUACGGGAGGCAGCAGUGGGGAAUAUUGGACAAUGGGCGCAAGCCUGAUCCAGCCAUACCGAGUGGGUGAAGAAGGCCUUCGGGUUGUAAAGCCCUUUUGUUGGGAAAGAAAAGCAGCAGGUUAAUACCCCGCUGUUCUGACGGUACCCAAAGAAUAAGCACCGGCUAACUUCGUG
Molecule: ribosomal RNA, 492 nt
Filed under: uncultured bacterium
Lineage: Bacteria
Description: partial 16S ribosomal RNA
Rfam family: Bacterial small subunit ribosomal RNA
Source: RNAcentral